CGGGGUGAGUAACGCGUGGGUAACCUGCCUUGUACUGGGGGACAACAGUUGGAAACGACUGCUAAUACCGCAUAAGCGCACAGCUUCGCAUGAAGCAGUGCGAAAAACUCCGGUGGUACAAGAUGGACCCGCGUCUGAUUAGCUGGUUGGUGAGGUAACGGCCCACCAAGGCGACGAUCAGUAGCCGGCCUGAGAGGGUGAACGGCCACAUUGGGACUGAGACGCGGCCCAA
This 232-nucleotide ribosomal RNA is filed under the name uncultured bacterium. RNAcentral describes it as "partial 16S ribosomal RNA". It matches the Rfam family "Bacterial small subunit ribosomal RNA", at positions 104 to 334 of the family's 1533-position model. The record is from RNAcentral.